Molecule: ribosomal RNA, 262 nt
Filed under: uncultured bacterium
Lineage: Bacteria
Description: partial 16S ribosomal RNA
Rfam family: Bacterial small subunit ribosomal RNA
Source: RNAcentral
UUAGUGGCGGACGGGUGAGUAACGCGUGGACAACCUGCCGUAUACAGGGGGAUAACACUUAGAAAUAGGUGCUAAUACCGCAUAAGCGCACGGUUCCGCAUGGAACAGUGUGAAAAACUCCGGUGGUAUACGAUGGAUCCGCGUCUGAUUAGCCAGUUGGCGGGGUAACGGCCCACCAAAGCGACGAUCAGUAGCCGGCCUGAGAGGGUGAACGGCCACAUUGGGACUGAGACACGGCCCAAGCUCCUACGGGAGGCAGCAG